CCUACGGGGGGCUGCAGUCGAGAAUCUUCCUCAAUGGACGAAAGUCUGAAGGAGCGACGCCGCGUGUAUGAAGACGCCCCUCGGGGUGUAAAGUACUUUUAACUGUGAAAAAACAAUGAUGGUAGCAGUUGAAUAAGGGGCUGCUAACCUCGUGCCAGCAGCAGCGGUAAUACGAGGGCCCCAAGCAUUAUCCGGAUUUAUUGGGCGUAAAGCGUCCGUAGGUGGUUUAUCGCAUCUCCUGUUAAAUCUCGAGGCUCAACCUCGAGUCAGCGGGAGAGAUGGACAAACUAGAGAUUGGAAGAGGCAAACGGAAUUGCUGGUGUAGGGGUUAAAUCCAUUAAUAUCAGCAAGAACACCAAAUGCGAAGGCAGUUUGCUAGGACAAUUCUGACACUCAGUGGACGAAAGCGUGGGGAGCGAAUGGGCUUAGAUACCCCUGUAGUC
This 443-nucleotide ribosomal RNA is filed under the name uncultured bacterium. RNAcentral describes it as "bacterial SSU rRNA". It matches the Rfam family "Bacterial small subunit ribosomal RNA", at positions 338 to 795 of the family's 1533-position model. The record is from RNAcentral.